Molecule: long non-coding RNA, 801 nt
Organism: Amphiprion ocellaris (clown anemonefish)
Lineage: Eukaryota; Metazoa; Chordata; Actinopteri; Pomacentridae
Exons: 4
Source: RefSeq, a predicted model, not a curated record
GACCAGCAACAACACCAUCAUCAUCGUCAGUGUUGUGGUCGGGAUGCUGGUGGUGCUGGGUCGUCAUCACUGCUGUUCUCAUCAAAUGCAGGAGGCGAGCCAAAAUGACGGAGGAUGCUCAAAAACCAACCCAAGCCCAAGAUGAACCAGGAGGUAAUCUGACCUACGUCACUAUCAACCACGCUAAUUACAAUCCGAAGAAAAAGGUCAAAGUGAAGGAGGAAGCAGUGACUUAUUCUACAAUCAAGACCACAGUGAAGAUGGAGGCCAACAUUGAUCCCAGCAGCUUCUACAGCUCUGUCAGAUGAGUUUAUCACAAUGAAUGACUGGAAAUGAGACUUCUCUUAGUGUCAGCUGUGUCUGUCUUCUGUUGGCUUUGCUUUACGCUCUGGAAAAGAUAAAAUCUGCAAAGUAGAACUGGCUGCGUUUAUGGUUUUUAUCACAUUGGAUUAUAAAUUAUGUCACAUUGCUAAAGACUGUAGCUCUCAGUUUUUACUAUGAUAGAAGCUUUUUUUGCACUUUUUUGGUAAUAUAUUGUAUAUUGUAAAGGCUGGAUUUAAUCCUGUGCUGUUAUUUGUAGGACUGUGAACUGAACUUUUUCUUCUUCUUGUGCUUUUGUGUCAUAUUUACUGCUGUUAUGAUCUGCUAUAAAUGUCUUCAGAUGUUAUUGUUAUGGAAUGUUUCGCUCCUCAGGGACAAAAUAAGUGACUCACUUGAAAAUUGUUAUUAAAAUUCCGACUUGAACCUGUGAAUAUUUCAACUUUACAUUGACAUUUAAAUAAACAUUGAAUCAAAUUAAAA